This 253-nucleotide ribosomal RNA is filed under the name uncultured bacterium. RNAcentral's name for it is "partial 16S ribosomal RNA". It matches the Rfam family "Bacterial small subunit ribosomal RNA", at positions 524 to 776 of the family's 1533-position model. The record is from RNAcentral.
UACAGAGGUCUCAAGCGUUGUUCGGAUUCAUUGGGCGUAAAGGGUGCGUAGGCGGCGCGGUAAGUCGGGUGUGAAAUCUCGGAGCUUAACUCCGAAACUGCAUUCGAUACUGCCGUGCUUGAGGACUGGAGAGGAGACUGGAAUUUACGGUGUAGCGGUGAAAUGCGUAGAUAUCGUAAGGAAGACCAGUGGCGAAGGCGGGUCUCUGGGCUGGAACUGACGCUGAGGAGCGAAAGCGUGGGUAGCAAACAGG